RNAcentral lists this ribosomal RNA (497 nucleotides) under uncultured bacterium. RNAcentral describes it as "partial 16S ribosomal RNA". It matches the Rfam family "Bacterial small subunit ribosomal RNA", at positions 28 to 507 of the family's 1533-position model. The record is from RNAcentral.
GAUGAACGCUGGCGGCGUGCCUAAUACAUGCAAGUCGAGCGAACGGACGAGAAGCUUGCUUCUCUGAUGUUAGCGGCGGACGGGUGAGUAACACGUGGAUAACCUACCUAUAAGACUGGGAUAACUUCGGGAAACCGUAGCUAAUACCGGAUAAUAUUUUGAACCGCAUGGUUCAAAAGUGAAAGACGGUCUUGCUGUCACUUAUAGAUGGAUCCGCGCUGCAUUAGCUAGUUGGUAAGGUAACGGCUUACCAAGGCAACGAUGCAUAGCCGACCUGAGAGGGUGAUCGGCCACACUGGAACUGAGACACGGUCCAGACUCCUACGGGAGGCAGCAGUAGGGAAUCUUCCGCAAAGGACGAAAGCCUGACGGAGCAACGCCGCGUGAGUGAUGAAGGUCUUCGGAUCGUAAAACUCUGUUAUUAGGGAAGAACAUAUGUGUAAGUAACUGUGCACAUCUUGACGGUACCUAAUCAGAAAGCCACGGCUAACUACGUG